AGGGCAUCUGGUGGAUGCCUCGGCGCUGAGAGGCGAUGAAGGACGUGGCACUCUGCGAUAAGCUGUGGGGAGGUGAGAGCAACCUUUGAUCCGCAGAUUUCCGAAUGGGGAAACCCACUCCGUAAGGAGUAUCCCGCAAGGGAGGCGAACCCGGGGAACUGAAACAUCUAAGUACCCGGAGGAAAGGACAUCAACCGAGACUCCGUUAGUAGUGGCGAGCGAACGCGGACCAGGCCUGUGGCAUUCAAGUAAGAACUGGAAGCACAUGGAAAGGUGCGCUGCAAAGGGUGAUAGCCCCGUACAGGUAGAAAUCUUGAAUGUCCUCGAGUAGGGCGGGACACGUGAAAUCCUGUCUGAACGUGGGGGGACCACCCUCCAAGCCUAAGUACUCCUCAGCGACCGAUAGUGAACCAGUACCGUGAGGGAAAGGUGAAAAGCACCCCGACGAGGGGAGUGAAAUAGAUCCUGAAACCGGAUGCCUACAAGCAGUUGGAGCCCGCAAGGGUGACAGCGUACCUCUUGCAUAAUGGGUCAGCGACUUAAUCUGGCAAGCAAGCUUAAGCCGAUAGGUGUAGGCGCAGCGAAAGCAAGUCUUAAUAGGGCGACUAAGUUUGUCGGAUUAGACCCGAAACCGAGUGAUCUAGAUAUGAGCAGGUUGAAGGUGCGGUAACACGCACUGGAGGACCGAACCCACGUAUGUUGAAAAAUGCGGGGAUGACUUGUGUCUAGGGGUGAAAGGCCAAUCAAACUCGGAAAUAGCUGGUUCUCCGCGAAAUCUAUUUAGGUAGAGCGUUGCGUGAAUACCCUCGGGGGUAGAGCACUGGAUGGGCUAUGGGGGCUUACCGCCUUACUGAUCCUAACCAAACUCCGAAUACCGAGGAGUACUACGCAGCAGACACACGGCGGGUGCUAAGGUCCGUCGUGGAAAGGGAAACAGCCCUGACCGCCAGCUAAGGUCCCUAAAUAGUGGCUAAGUGGGAAAGGAUGUGGGAGUGCAGUGACAACCAGGAGGUUGGCUUAGAAGCAGCCAUCCUUUAAAGAAAGCGUAACAGCUCACUGGUCAAGCGCUCCUGCGCCGAAGAUGUACCGGGGCUUAAGCCACUUACCGAAGCUGCGGGUGCACACUUUUGUGUGCGCGGUAGCGGAGCGUUCCGUAAGUCUGUGAAGGGUGACCCGCGAGGGCACCUGGAGAUAUCGGAAGUGAGAAUGCUGACAUGAGUAGCGACAAAGAGGGUGAGAGACCCUCUCGCCGUAAGUCCAAGGGUUCCUGCGUAAAGCUAAUCUGCGCAGGGUUAGCCGGCCCCUAAGGCGAGGCCGAAAGGCGUAGUCGAUGGGAACCAGGUGAAUAUUCCUGGGCCGGGAGAUGGUGACGAAUUCCGUAAGUUGUCAGUCCUUAUUGGAUUGGACUGGCAGUGAUGGAGUUCCAGGAAAUAGCCUCUCCAUUAGACCGUACCCUAAACCGACACAGGUGGACAGGUAGAGUAUACUAAGGCGCUUGAGAGAACGAUGCUGAAGGAACUCGGCAAAUUGCCCUCGUAACUUCGGGAGAAGAGGGCCCUGCCUUUGGGCAACCAUUGGCAGGGGGCACAGACCAGGGGGUAGCGACUGUUUACUAAAAACACAGGGCUCUGCGAAGUCGCAAGACGACGUAUAGGGUCUGACGCCUGCCCGGUGCCGGAAGGUUAAGAGGAGAGGUGCAAGCUUUGAAUCGAAGCCCCGGUAAACGGCGGCCGUAACUAUAACGGUCCUAAGGUAGCGAAAUUCCUUGUCGGGUAAGUUCCGACCUGCACGAAUGGCGUAACGACUUCCCCACUGUCUCCA
RNAcentral lists this ribosomal RNA (1821 nucleotides) under Mastigocoleus testarum BC008. RNAcentral's name for it is "bacterial LSU rRNA". It matches the Rfam family "Bacterial large subunit ribosomal RNA", at positions 14 to 2024 of the family's 2925-position model. Lineage: Bacteria; Bacillati; Cyanobacteriota; Cyanophyceae; Nostocales; Hapalosiphonaceae. The record is from RNAcentral.